CACCAACCAAAGUGAGGCUUUCACAUUCAGCCAAUCAGAGAGAAGCUCGCUUGUUUCCUGCUGAUUCCUGUUGAACAGGUUGCUGAAAGUGGCGGUUGAUGUACAAUUAUCCUCGCUUUUUUAUCAAAAAAGGUAACUUUAUCUUUAAAUAUUAACUAUUUUUUGUAUUUUUAUUGUUAUCUGAGUGGGGGAAAUAAUAUUUUCUGAUAAUUAUGCCAAAAAAUUGUCAGUACAUGACUAAAUGUGGAUUUUUGGUCAUUGCCCCCCCCUUCCUUCUAUGUUCAUUGCAUGUGGUUGUUGUGCAAAUGUAAAAGUUAUGGUGAAUUGUUAUUAAGUUUUGUAUUUUUUGUGAGUAUUUCGUGAUUUUCAUCAGUGAUAGUAUUGUAGGUUAUGAUUUUUUGUGCAAUAAAUUGUUCUAUCGUUAAUGGGUAAUUGAGAACAAAAGCAUUGUCCGUCAUUGAUUUUUUAGGUUAACUUUGCAACAAAAUUUUGAUAUUUGUCGCAAUUUUAUGUCCUAUGUGGUUGAUAUUAUAUAAAAUACAUGUGUUUUCCCAAAUUUUGAGACAUUUUCAAGAACAAAAGGUAAUGUCAAGGUAAUUGACAUUAAGCUCGAAAUGUCGAUGUUCGUCAGGCAAUGCUUUGCUUUCAUGCUUCGCAAAAUUGUACAAAAACAAAAGUGAUCAUUAUACUUUUCUAAAAUGGCAUCGAGCAGACAAAUUUAAUAAAAAAUAAUGUUUAUUUUCUCAGCUUCCUCGUUUUCUGUUUGGUGGAUAUUCUGGAUAGAUGAAAUAAUUUCGUCAGUCCUCAAUUGCAGGGGAUAAUUGGCAGUUAUGCUUUCUCCAUUGAUGUUUAAUCCAAACGAGAAAAUGGCACAAUGAUCUUUUUUGCAAUGCGAAUAAAUAAGUUGUAGGUUAUUUAAAACUCGGUCUAUUCGAAGAAUUACUUUUCAAAUUUUCACAAUGGUUUGAAAAGUAAUCUAAGAGUAGGGAUCUCCGGGGAUUAAAUGGCUUAAAAAAAGGAUCUCAUAGACAUAGCGAAUUCGCUAUUAUGUGCCAUUUGAGAGAAAACGGGAGUAAAAAUCCCACUUUAUAGAAGCUUAUAAAAAAUUGUUAUGUUUCGAGUCAGUGCGGAUUUUGUAUAACUUAAAUUUAAAAUCAGUGUUUAUUUAAAUAUAAAAUGAUAACAAAAAUUGUUGUUUUGAAUCAGUGCGUGUUUGUAUAAUUUAAAUUAAUUAAAAUCAGUGUGUGGACGUGAGUGUUAAUAUAUAAAAUAAUAAAAAAAUUCUUUUAUUUCGAGUCAGUGCGCGUUUGUAUAACUUAAAUUUAAUUAAAAUCAGUGUGUGUGUGUGUUAAUAUAUAAAAGAAUAAAAUAAUUAUUUUAUUUCGAGUCAGUGCGCGUUUGUAUAACUUAAAUUUAAUUAAAAAAUCAGUGCGUGUGUGUGUUCAAAUAUAAAAAGAUAAAUAAAAAUUUUAUGUUUCGAGUCAGUGCGCGUUUAUAUAACUUAAAUUUAAAAACAGUGUGUUUGUGUGAUAAAAUAUUCGGAACGAUUCAAAUAGUAUGGAGAACUGGAAAAAGUGGAGGAACUAGAGAAGCAGUUCACCCAGCAUCCCUUCAAAAUUUUAUACCAGCAAUAAUAUUUGUAAGUCCCUCCUGUUCUCCAAAGUAUUGUGGCGGAAACAGGUUGUAAUAAUUUGGAAAAUUUUCAUAGUGAUCGCUAAUUAAAUUGAUUGAUAUUUUUAAUUAAAAAUUAACUAAUCGA
Long non-coding RNA from Leptopilina boulardi, 1759 nucleotides. RefSeq lists it as uncharacterized. The transcript has 3 exons. The record is from RefSeq and is a predicted model, not a curated record. NCBI's taxonomy places the organism in Eukaryota, Metazoa, Arthropoda, Insecta, Hymenoptera, Figitidae.